RNAcentral lists this unclassified non-coding RNA (520 nucleotides) under uncultured Glomus. RNAcentral describes it as "SSU rRNA". It matches the Rfam family "Eukaryotic small subunit ribosomal RNA", at positions 569 to 1091 of the family's 1831-position model. The record is from RNAcentral. Lineage: Eukaryota; Fungi; Glomeromycota; Glomeromycetes; Glomerales; Glomeraceae.
AGCAGCCGCGGUAAUUCCAGCUCCAAUAGCGUAUAUUAAAGUUGUUGCAGUUAAAAAGCUCGUAGUUGAAUUUCGGGAUCAAUUAAUCGGUCGUGCCUCUGGUACGCACUGGUUUUAUUGGUUUCUCCCUUCUGACGAACCAGGAUGUCAUUAAUUUGGUGUCUUGGAGAGUCAGGACUGUUACUUUGAAAAAAUUAGAGUGUUUAAAGCAGGCUAACGCUUGAAUACAUUAGCAUGGAAUAAUGAAAUAGGACGUUUGAUCCUAUUUUGUUGGUUUCUAGGAUCGACAUAAUGAUUAAUAGGGAUAGUUGGGGGCAUUAGUAUUCAAUUGUCAGAGGUGAAAUUCUUGGAUUAUUGAAGACUAACUACUGCGAAAGCAUUUGCCAAGGAUGUUUUCAUUAAUCAAGAACGAAAGUUAGGGGAUCGAAGACGAUCAGAUACCGUCGUAGUCUUAACCAUAAACUAUGCCGACUAGGGAUCGGAUGAUGUUAAUUUUUUAAUGACUCAUUCGGCGCCUUAC